GAUGAACGCUGGCGGCGUGCUUAACACAUGCAAGUCGAGCGAGAAGUUUUGAAAAGAUUCUUCGGAUGAAAUUUAAAAUGGAAAGCGGCGGACGGGUGAGUAACGCGUAGGCAACCUGCCCCAUACAAAGGGACAGCAUUUGGAAACGAAUAUUAAUACCUUAUGAAACUUAACUAGUGCAUGCUAGGUAGGUCAAAGAUUUAUCGGUAUGGGAUGGGCCUGCGUCUGAUUAGCUAGUUGGUGAGGUAACGGCUCACCAAGGCGACGAUCAGUAGCCGACCUGAGAGGGUGAACGGCCACAUUGGAACUGAGACACGGUCCAAACUCCUACGGGAGGCAGCAGUGGGGAAUAUUGCACAAUGGGGGAAACCCUGAUGCAGCAACGCCGCGUGAACGAUGAAGGCCUUUGGGUCGUAAAGUUCUGUUCUAGGGGAGGAAAACUGACAGUAACCUAGGAGAAAGCCCCGGCUAACUCCGUG
This 479-nucleotide ribosomal RNA is filed under the name uncultured bacterium. Its description in RNAcentral is "partial 16S ribosomal RNA". It matches the Rfam family "Bacterial small subunit ribosomal RNA", at positions 28 to 507 of the family's 1533-position model. The record is from RNAcentral.